This 229-nucleotide long non-coding RNA is filed under the name Panax ginseng (ginseng). RNAcentral's name for it is "long non-coding RNA (PGIN_LNC005859)". Lineage: Eukaryota; Viridiplantae; Streptophyta; Magnoliopsida; Apiales; Araliaceae. The record is from RNAcentral.
UACAAACGAUAAAGAUAGAGUUAAAAACUCUAGGGACCCACGUGAUGAUGUCAAAUAUACGAGUAGAACCGACCUUAAUUGAUAAAUUUAAAGAUGCUCAAGCUACAGACCUGGAGCUAAUGAAUAUGAAGAAGAAGGUGCAAGAAGGAGUUAUUCUAGAAGUAAGAGUCGAUGAAGAGAAGAAAGCUCAAACCUUCGAUAUAUUUGAAAUCCUCGAUCGAGUAGGAAC